CCUACGGGUGGCAGCAGUGAGGGAUAUUGGUCAAUGGACGAGAGUCUGAACCAGCCAAGUAGCGUGAAGGAUGACUGCCCUAUGGGUUGUAAACUUCUUUUAUAUGGGAAUAAAAUGUUCCAUGUUGGGGAUUUUGUAUGUACCAUAUGAAUAAGGAUCGGCUAACUCCUUGCCAGCAGCCGCGGUAAUACGGAGGGUCCGAGCGUUAUCCGGAUUUAUUGGGUUUAAAGGGAGCGUAGGUGGAUUGUUAAGUCAGGUGUGAAAGUUUGCGGCUCAACCGUAAAAUUGCAGUUGAAACUGGCAGUCUUGAGUACAGGAGAGGUGGGCGGAAUUCGGGGUGUAGCGGUGAAAUGCUUAGAUAUCACGAAGAACGCCGAUUGCGAAGGCAGCCCACUGGACUGCAACUGACACUGAGGCUCGAAAGUGUGGGGAGCAAACAGGAUUAGAUACCCCUGUAGUC
RNAcentral lists this ribosomal RNA (460 nucleotides) under uncultured bacterium. RNAcentral describes it as "partial 16S ribosomal RNA". It matches the Rfam family "Bacterial small subunit ribosomal RNA", at positions 338 to 795 of the family's 1533-position model. The record is from RNAcentral.